UACUGCCAGACUUGGAACCGGGAGAGGUAAGAGGUACUACAGGGGUAGGAGUGAAAUCUUGUAAUCCCUGUGGGACCACCUGUGGCGAAGGCGUCUUACCAGAACGGGUUCGACGGUGAGGGACGAAAGCUGGGGGCACGAACCGGAUUAGAUACCCGGGUAGUCCCAGCCGUAAACGAUGCUCGCUAGGUGUCAGGCAUGGCGCGACCGUGUCUGGUGCCGCAGGGAAGCCGUGAAGCGAGCCACCUGGGAAGUACGGCCGCAAGGCUGAAACUUAAAGGAAUUGGCGGGGGAGCACAACAACGGGUGGAGCCCUGCGGUUUAAUUGGACUCAACGCCGGACAACUCACCGGGGGCGACAGCAAUAUGUAGGCCAAGCUGAAGACUUUGCCUGAAUCGCUGAGGAGAGGUGCAUGG
This 417-nucleotide ribosomal RNA is filed under the name uncultured archaeon. RNAcentral's name for it is "bacterial SSU rRNA". It matches the Rfam family "Archaeal small subunit ribosomal RNA", at positions 582 to 997 of the family's 1478-position model. The record is from RNAcentral.